Molecule: ribosomal RNA, 253 nt
Filed under: uncultured bacterium
Lineage: Bacteria
Description: partial 16S ribosomal RNA
Rfam family: Bacterial small subunit ribosomal RNA
Source: RNAcentral
UACGUAGGGUGCAAGCGUUAAUCGGAAUUACUGGGCGUAAAGCGUGCGCAGGCGGUUGGGUAAGUCUGUCGUGAAAUCCCCGGGCUCAACCUGGGAAUUGCGAUGGAGACUGCACGGCUAGAGUGUGUCAGAGGGGGGUAGAAUUCCACGUGUAGCAGUGAAAUGCGUAGAUAUGUGGAGGAACACCGAUGGCGAAGGCAGCCCCCUGGGAUAACACUGACGCUCAUGCACGAAAGCGUGGGGAGCAAACAGG